AUAAGACACUUGAACUGAGACAGCUCAAUGGAGAAGAUCUACAAGGGCUGUCUGUAAAAGAUCUGAGGAAGCUAGAACAUUUACUUAGCACAAGCUUGCAUCGCAUUUCAAAAGCAAAGGUUGAAGUAAUUGAGCAGGAGAACAAUAUUCUAAAGAAAAAG
Molecule: long non-coding RNA, 161 nt
Organism: Neltuma alba
Lineage: Eukaryota; Viridiplantae; Streptophyta; Magnoliopsida; Fabales; Fabaceae
Exons: 4
Source: RefSeq, a predicted model, not a curated record